UUUGUUGGGUGGAUGAGUGGCGAACGGGUGAGUAACACGUGAGUAACCUGCCCCCUUCUUUGGGAUAACGCCCGGAAACGGGUGCUAAUACUGGAUAUUCACUGGCCUUCGCAUGGGGGUUGGUGGAAAGGGUUUUUCUGGUGGGGGAUGGGCUCGCGGCCUAUCAGCUUGUUGGUGGGGUGAUGGCCUACCAAGGCUUUGACGGGUAGCCGGCCUGAGAGGGUGACCGGUCACAUUGGGACUGAGAUACGGCCCAGACUCCUACGGGAGGCAGCAGUGGGGAAUAUUGCACAAUGGGCGCAAGCCUGAUGCAGCGACGCCGCGUGAGGGAUGGAGGCCUUCGGGUUGUGAACCUCUUUCGCUCAUGGUCAAGCCGCAACAAUGGUUGUGGUGAGGGUAGUGGGUAAAGAAGCGCCGGCUAACUACGUGCCAGCAGCCGCGGUAAUACGUAGGGCGCGAGCGUUGUCCGGAAUUAUUGGGCGUAAAGGGCUUGUAGGCGGUUGGUCGCGUCUGCCGUGAAAUCCUCUGGCUUAACUGGGGGCGUGCGGUGGGUACGGGCUGACUUGAGUGCGGUAGGGGAGACUGGAACUCCUGGUGUAGCGGUGGAAUGCGCAGAUAUCAGGAAGAACACCGGUGGCGAAGGCGGGUCUCUGGGCCGUUACUGACGCUGAGGAGCGAA
RNAcentral lists this ribosomal RNA (679 nucleotides) under uncultured Actinomycetes bacterium. RNAcentral describes it as "bacterial SSU rRNA". It matches the Rfam family "Bacterial small subunit ribosomal RNA", at positions 79 to 757 of the family's 1533-position model. The record is from RNAcentral. Lineage: Bacteria; Bacillati; Actinomycetota; Actinomycetes.